RNAcentral lists this ribosomal RNA (497 nucleotides) under uncultured bacterium. Its description in RNAcentral is "partial 16S ribosomal RNA". It matches the Rfam family "Bacterial small subunit ribosomal RNA", at positions 28 to 507 of the family's 1533-position model. The record is from RNAcentral.
GAUGAACGCUGGCGGCGUGCCUAAUACAUGCAAGUCGAGCGAACGGACGAGAAGCUUGCUUCUCUGAUGUUAGCGGCGGACGGGUGAGUAACGCGUGGAUAACCUACCUAUCAGACUGGGAUAACUUCGGGAAACCGGAGCUAAUACCGGAUAAUAUUUUGAACCGCAUGGUUCAAAAGUGAAAGACGGUCUUGCUGUCACUUAUAGAUGGAUCCGCGCUGCAUUAGCUAGUUGGUAAGGUAACGGCUUACCAAGGCAACGAUGCAUAGCCGACCUGAGAGGGUGAUCGGCCACACUGGAACUGAGACACGGUCCAGACUCCUACGGGAGGCAGCAGUAGGGAAUCCUCCGCAAUGGGCGAAAGCCUGACGGAGCAACGCCGCGUGAGUGAUGAAGGUCUUCGGAUCGUAAAACUCUGUUAUUAGGGAAGAACAUAUGUGUAAGUAACUGUGCACAUCUUGACGGUACCUAAUCAGAAAGCCACGGCUAACUACGUG